Caenorhabditis elegans is the source of this 150-nucleotide non-coding RNA. Lineage: Eukaryota; Metazoa; Nematoda; Chromadorea; Rhabditida; Rhabditidae. The record is from Ensembl.
ACAUGCUUCUUCUUCUUCUUGUAUUCGUCAACAUCGUCGUAUUCGCCCACUAAUCACAUAUUCAUUUCUUGUUUUUCCGCGUUGCGCGCGCUGGCUGCGCCCAACGCAUUCUCGUGUUCGAAGUCACGAGUCUUCUGAAUCCUCAUGACU